AUUGAACGCUGGCGGUAUGCUUAACACAUGCAAGUCGCGCGAGAAAGUUCACUUCGGUGGAUGAGUAGAGCGGCGCACGGGUGAGUAACGCGUGGGUAAUCUACCCGAAAGACUGGGAUAACAGUGGGAAACCGCUGCUAAUACCGGAUACGCUUCAUGCAUUAUCGUAUGAGGGAAAGGUGGCCUCUGCUUGCAAGCUACCACUUUUGGAUGAGCCCGCGUCCCAUUAGCUAGUUGGUAAGGUAACGGCUUACCAAGGCUUCGAUGGGUAGCUGGUCUGAGAGGAUGAUCAGCCACACUGGGACUGAAACACGGCCCAGACUCCUACGGGAGGCAG
This 337-nucleotide ribosomal RNA is filed under the name uncultured Pseudomonadota bacterium. Its description in RNAcentral is "bacterial SSU rRNA". It matches the Rfam family "Bacterial small subunit ribosomal RNA", at positions 30 to 351 of the family's 1533-position model. The record is from RNAcentral. Lineage: Bacteria; Pseudomonadati; Pseudomonadota.